This 647-nucleotide ribosomal RNA is filed under the name Escherichia coli. RNAcentral describes it as "partial 23S ribosomal RNA". It matches the Rfam family "Bacterial large subunit ribosomal RNA", at positions 2242 to 2883 of the family's 2925-position model. Lineage: Bacteria; Pseudomonadati; Pseudomonadota; Gammaproteobacteria; Enterobacterales; Enterobacteriaceae. The record is from RNAcentral.
GGGUUGCGGACAGUGUCUGGUGGGUAGUUUGACUGGGGCGGUCUCCUCCUAAAGAGUAACGGAGGAGCACGAAGGUUGGCUAAUCCUGGUCGGACAUCAGGAGGUUAGUGCAAUGGCAUAAGCCAGCUUGACUGCGAGCGUGACGGCGCGAGCAGGUGCGAAAGCAGGUCAUAGUGAUCCGGUGGUUCUGAAUGGAAGGGCCAUCGCUCAACGGAUAAAAGGUACUCCGGGGAUAACAGGCUGAUACCGCCCAAGAGUUCAUAUCGACGGCGGUGUUUGGCACCUCGAUGUCGGCUCAUCACAUCCUGGGGCUGAAGUAGGUCCCAAGGGUAUGGCUGUUCGCCAUUUAAAGUGGUACGCGAGCUGGGUUUAGAACGUCGUGAGACAGUUCGGUCCCUAUCUGCCGUGGGCGCUGGAGAACUGAGGGGGGCUGCUCCUAGUACGAGAGGACCGGAGUGGACGCAUCACUGGUGUUCGGGUUGUCAUGCCAAUGGCACUGCCCGGUAGCUAAAUGCGGAAGAGAUAAGUGCUGAAAGCAUCUAAGCACGAAACUUGCCCCGAGAUGAGUUCUCCCUGACUCCUUGAGAGUCCUGAAGGAACGUUGAAGACGACGACGUUGAUAGGCCGGGUGUGUAAGCGCAGCGAUG